CGGCUAAGUCCGUGCCAGUAGCCGUGGGAAUCCGGAAGGUUCGAGCGUUACUGCGAAGUUCGUGGCGUAAAGCUGGCGCAAGCGGUUUGUUAAGCGAGAUGUGAAAGCCCUGGGCUCAACCUAGGAAUAGCAUUUCGAACUGGCGAACUAGAGUCUUGUAGAGGGGGGUAGAAUUCCAGGUGUAGCGGUGAAAUGCGUAGAGAUCUGGAGGAAUACCGGUGGCGAAGGCGGCCCCCUGGACAAAGACUGACGCUCAGGUGCGAAAGCGUGGGGAGCAAACAGGAUUAGAUACCUUGUAGUC
Molecule: ribosomal RNA, 301 nt
Filed under: uncultured Spiroplasma sp.
Lineage: Bacteria; Bacillati; Mycoplasmatota; Mollicutes; Entomoplasmatales; Spiroplasmataceae
Description: bacterial SSU rRNA
Rfam family: Bacterial small subunit ribosomal RNA
Source: RNAcentral